This 73-nucleotide transfer RNA is filed under the name bacterium. RNAcentral's name for it is "tRNA-Phe". It matches the Rfam family "tRNA". Rfam says of the family: Transfer RNA (tRNA) molecules are approximately 80 nucleotides in length. Their secondary structure includes four short double-helical elements and three loops (D, anti-codon, and T loops). RNAcentral also lists the same sequence under 1 other name. The record is from RNAcentral.
GGGCAGGUAGCUCAGUCGGUAGAGCAGGAGACUGAAAAUCUCCGUGUCGGGGGUUCGAUUCCCUCCUUGCCCA